Molecule: ribosomal RNA, 492 nt
Filed under: uncultured bacterium
Lineage: Bacteria
Description: partial 16S ribosomal RNA
Rfam family: Bacterial small subunit ribosomal RNA
Source: RNAcentral
AGUGAACGCUGGCGGUAGGCCUAACACAUGCAAGCCGAACGGCAGCACAGUAAGAGCUUGCUCUUACGGGUGGCGAGUGGCGGACGGGUGAGGAAUACAUCGGAAUCUACUUUUUCGUGGGGGAUAACGUAGGGAAACUUACGCUAAUACCGCAUACGACCUACGGGUGAAAGCAGGGGAUCUUCGGACCUUGCGCGAUUGAAUGAGCCGAUGUCGGAUUAGCUAGUUGGCGGGGUAAAGGCCCACCAAGGCGACGAUCCGUAGCUGGUCUGAGAGGAUGAUCAGCCACACUGGAACUGAGACACGGUCCAGACUCCUACGGGAGGCAGCAGUGGGGAAUCUUGGACAAUGGGCGCAAGCCUGAUCCAGCCAUACCGCGUGGGUGAAGAAGGCCUUCGGGUUGUAAAGCCCUUUUGUUGGGAAAGAAAAGCAGCAGGUUAAUACCCCGCUGUUCUGACGGUACCCAAAGAAUAAGCACCGGCUAACUUCGUG